GACGAACGCUGGCGGCGUGCCUAAUACAUGCAAGUCGAACGGUCUUUUCUAUGGAAGCUUGCUUCCACUGAGAAGAUAGUGGCGGACGGGUGAGUAACGCGUGGAUAACCUACCCUGUACAGGGGAAUAACAAUGGGAAACCAUUGCUAAUACCCCAUAACACCUUAAAGGGGCAUCCCAUUAAGGUCAAAGAAAUUCGGUAUAGGAUGGGUCCGCGUCUGAUUAGCUAGUUGGUGGAGUAAAAGCCUACCAAGGCGACGAUCAGUAGCCGACCUGAGAGGGUGAUCGGCCACACUGGAACUGAGACACGGUCCAGACUCCUACGGGAGGCAGCAGUGGGGGAUAUUGCACAAUGGGGGAAACCCUGAUGCAGCGACGCC
This 380-nucleotide ribosomal RNA is filed under the name uncultured bacterium. Its description in RNAcentral is "bacterial SSU rRNA". It matches the Rfam family "Bacterial small subunit ribosomal RNA", at positions 28 to 398 of the family's 1533-position model. The record is from RNAcentral.